GGCAGACGGGUGAGUAACAUGUAGGUAUCUUCCCAUUGGUGAGGAAUAACACGAGGAAACUUGUGCUAGUACCUCAUAAGUCUUUACGGAGAAAGCUUUAUGCGCCGAUGGAUGAGCCUGCACUUGAUUAGUUUGUUGGUAGGGUAAUGGCCUACCAAGACAAUGAUCAAUAGCUGAUUUGAGAGGAUGAUCAGCCACAUUGGGACUGAGACACGGCCCAAACUCCUACGGGAGGCAGCAGUAGGGAAUCUUGCACAAUGGGGGAAACCCUGAUGCAGCGAUGCCGCGUGAGUGAAGAAGGCCUUUGGGUUGUAAAGCUCUUUCGUCGGGGAAGAAAAUGACUGUACCCGAAUAAGAAGGUCCGGCUAACUUCGUGCCAGCAGCCGCGGUAAUACGAAGGGACCUAGCGUAGUUCGGAAUUACUGGGCUUAAAGAGCUCGUAGGUGGUUAAAAAAGUUGGUGGUGAAAUCCCAGAGCUUAACUCUGAAACUGCCAUCAAAACUUUUUAGCUAGAGUAUGAUAGAGGAAAGCAGAAUUUCUAGUGUAGAGGUGAAAUUCGUAGAUAUUAGAAAGAAUACCAAUUGCGAAGGCAGCUUUCUGGAUCAUUACUGACACUGAGGAACGAAAGCAUGGGUAGCGAAGAGGAUUAGAUACCCUCGUAGUCCAUGCCGUAAACGAUGUGUGUUAGGCGUUGGAAAUUUAUUUUCUGUGUCGCAGCGAAAGCAAUAAACACAC
This 735-nucleotide ribosomal RNA is filed under the name uncultured marine bacterium. Its description in RNAcentral is "bacterial SSU rRNA". It matches the Rfam family "Bacterial small subunit ribosomal RNA", at positions 97 to 869 of the family's 1533-position model. The record is from RNAcentral.